Raphanus sativus (radish) is the source of this 1020-nucleotide long non-coding RNA. RefSeq lists it as uncharacterized. Lineage: Eukaryota; Viridiplantae; Streptophyta; Magnoliopsida; Brassicales; Brassicaceae. The transcript has 3 exons. The record is from RefSeq and is a predicted model, not a curated record.
CAAAAAAUUUAAGCCAAUUUUUUGGGUUUUCUUUUAUUUCCCACCAAAAAAAACAACGAUUCCCUUUUCAUUAGGGUUCUUAUCAUUCGUCUCUGUCACCUCCUCGAGUCUCAUCCCUGCGUUUCCCCUUUGCUCGAUCUCGAGCUCCGACCACCACUCUGUGGUCCCCACUCGCCCGCAAUCGAACACGGUGGCGCCUCUUGUCCACUCUCGCCGCCGUGUCUCUGCUCAUCAAUCCGCCGUGCUCUGCUUCACACCGCAACAGUCUCGCCGUCUUCGUCACGUCGGAGCUCUCAUCCAUCGUCCAUCUCUGAGUCCGUGAUCAAACCACAACACGAUAUCACCUGCUCCAAAUCAAGCUUCUCUGGUGCGUUCUUGCUUCACAACCGGCAUCUCCGUCUUGUUUCUUUGUCGUCACCGGAAUCAUGCCACACUGUCGGGAUCGAAGUGCAGAAAGCAACAAUGGUGAUCUUUAAACUAUUUGCAAAUAUGGUCCUUCAUCUUUGUAGAGUUUUGUUUUUGCCCCAAGCCUUUACCAUGUGCCAGUGAAAGGAAACCUUGUGAGUUCAGGACAAUGGUGGUAACAGAUGCUGAAGGUCAUCUCUUGGGGAGAUUAAUUGUGGAACUUUACUGCAAAGUUGUAGCCGAAUGAGCAGUCUUCUUGAACAACUGUGGCAACAAAAAGAAGAGAGAGUAAGAGAGUUCUCUAAUGUGCAAUCACAAAUUGAGAAGAUAUCCGGAGAGAUUGCUGGUGGUUUCUGUAAUGAGGUUCCUAUAUCCUUAGCAAUCUUAAAACAACUAAGAUCAAUGAAGUUAAAACUUAUAAUUAGAGAUACAUGAUGCAGAGUUCGUGAAGACAUGCGAGAGAGGUGGAAAGACUUGAUGUGUGUUUUAUAAAAUUAAUGAAUAGAAUUGUGAGUUUAAGAUUUUUUGUUAUAUUAGUAUGGUCUUUGUAGAAAGUGAAAUGUGAUUGAUUAUAUGAUUAACUGUAAUCGAUUAUAUUUGAGGUCAGUUCAUGGA